RNAcentral lists this ribosomal RNA (300 nucleotides) under uncultured Streptomyces sp. RNAcentral's name for it is "bacterial SSU rRNA". It matches the Rfam family "Bacterial small subunit ribosomal RNA", at positions 114 to 411 of the family's 1533-position model. Lineage: Bacteria; Bacillati; Actinomycetota; Actinomycetes; Kitasatosporales; Streptomycetaceae. The record is from RNAcentral.
CACGUGGGCAAUCUGCCCUGCACUCUGGGGACAAAGCCCUGGAAACGGGGUCGUAAUACCGGAUAUGACCGUCUGCCGCAUGGUGGAUGGUGUAAAGCUCCGGCGGUGCAGGAUGAGCCCGCGGCCUAUCAGCUUGUUGGUGAGGUAGUGGCUCACCAAGGCGACGACGGGUAGCCGGCCUGAGAGGGCGACCGGCCACACUGGGACUGAGACACGGCCCAGACUUCCUACGGGAGGCAGCAGUGGGGAAGUUUUCCGCAAUGGGCGAAAGCCUGCGGAGCAAUACCGCGUGAGGGAAGA